RNAcentral lists this transfer RNA (73 nucleotides) under Ailuropoda melanoleuca (giant panda). It matches the Rfam family "tRNA". From Rfam's summary of the family: Transfer RNA (tRNA) molecules are approximately 80 nucleotides in length. Their secondary structure includes four short double-helical elements and three loops (D, anti-codon, and T loops). Lineage: Eukaryota; Metazoa; Chordata; Mammalia; Carnivora; Ursidae. The record is from Rfam by way of RNAcentral.
ACCUGGCUGGCUCAGUCAGUAGAGCAUGGGACUCUUGAUCUCGGGGUUGUGAGUUCGAGCCCCAUGUGGGGUG